CAACCUCAACUCAUAUGGGACUACCCCCUGAAUUUAAGCAUAUUAAUUAGGGGAGGAAAAGAAACUAACAAGGAUUUUCUUAGUAGCGGCGAGCGAAAAGAAAACAGUUCAGCACUAAGUCACUUUGUCUAUAUGGCAAAUGUGAGAUGCAGUGUAUGGAGCGUCAAUAUUCUAGUAUGAGAAAUUAAUGAUUUAAGUCCUUCUUAAAUGAGGCCAUUUACCCAUAGAGGGUGCCAGGCCCGUAUAACGUUAAUGAUUGCUAGAUGAUGUUUCCAAAGAGUCGUGUUGCUUGAUAGUGCAGCACUAAGUGGGUGGUAAACUCCAUCUAAAACUAAAUAUAACCAUGAGACCGAUAGUAAACAAGUACCGUGAGGGAAAGUUGAAAAGAACUCUGAAUAGAGAGUUAAACAGUACGUGAAACUGCUUAGAGGUUAAGCCCGAUGAACCUGAAUAUCCGUUAUGGAAAAUUCAUCAUUAAAAUUGUAAUAUUUAAAUAAUAUUAUUAAGAAUAAUGUGCAUUUUUUCCAUAUAAGGACAUUGUGAUCUAUUAGCAUAUCCCAAAAUUUAUCAUAAAAUAUAACUUAUAGUUUAUUCCAAUUAAAUUGCUUGCAUUUUAACACAGAAUAAAUGUUAUUAAUUUUGAUAAAGUGCUGAUAGAUUUAUAUUAUUACAGAGCGUUAAUUUUUCGGAAUUAUAUAAUGGCAUAAUUAUCAUUGAUUUUUGUGUUUAUUAUAUGCUCCUGUAUGAUUAACAAUGCGAAAGAUUCAGGAUACCUUCGGGACCCGUCUUGAAACACGGACCAAGGAGUCUAACAUAUGUGCAAGUUAUUGGGAUGUAAACCUAAUAGCGUAAUUAACUUGACUAAUAAUGGGAUUAGUUUUUUAGCUAUUUAUAGCUAAUUAACACAAUCCCGGGGCGUUCUAUAUAGUUAUGUAUAAUGUAUAUUUAUAUUAUUUAUGCCUCUAACUGGAACGUACCUUGAGCAUAUAUGCUGUGACCCGAAAGAUGGUGAACUAUACUUGAUCAGGUUGAAGUCAGGGGAAACCCUGAUGGAAGACCGAAACAGUUCUGACGUGCAAAUCGAUUGUCAGAAUUGAGUAUAGGGGCGAAAGACCAAUCGAACCAUCUAGUAGCUGGUUCCUUCCGAAGUUUCCCUCAGGAUAGCUGGUGCAUUUUAAUAUUAUAUAAAAUAAUCUUAUCUGGUAAAGCGAUAAAGCCUUAGGGUCGAAACGAUCUUAACCUAUUCUCAAACUUUAAAUGGGUAAGAACCUUAACUUUCUUGAUAUGAAGUUCAAGGUUAUGAUAUAAUGUGCCCAGUGGGCCACUUUUGGUAAGCAGAACUGGCGCUGUGGGAUGAACCAAACGUAAUGUUACGGUGCCCAAAUUAACAACUCAUGCAGAUACCAUGAAAGGCGUUGGUUGCUUAAAACAGCAGGACGGUGAUCAUGGAAGUCGAAAUCCGCUAAGGAGUGUGUAACAACUCACCUGCCGAAGCAACUAGCCCUUAAAAUGGAUGGCGCUUAAGUUGUAUACCUAUACAUUACCGCUAAAGUAGAUGAUUUAUAUUACUUGUGAUAUAAAUUUUGAAACUUUAGUGAGUAGGAAGGUACAAUGGUAUGCGUAGAAGUGUUUGGCGUAAGCCUGCAUGGAGCUGCCAUUGGUACAGAUCUUGGUGGUAGUAGCAAAUAAUCGAAUGAGACCUUGGAGGACUGAAGUGGAGAAGGGUUUCGUGUGAACAGUGGUUGAUCACGAGUUAGUCGGUCCUAAGUUCAAGGCGAAAGCCGAAAAUUUUCAAGUAAAACAAAAAUGCCUAACUAUAUAAACAAAGCGAAUAUAAUACACUUGAAUAAUUUUGAACGAAAGGGAAUACGGUUCCAAUUCCGUAACCUGUUGAGUAUCCGUUUGUUAUUAAAUAUGGGCCUCGUGCUCAUCCUGGCAACAGGAACGACCAUAAAGAAGCCGUCGAGAGAUAUCGGAAGAGUUUUCUUUUCUGUUUUAUAGCCGUACUACCAUGGAAGUCUUUCGCAGAGAGAUAUGGUAGAUGGGCUAGAAGAGCAUGACAUAUACUGUUGUGUCGAUAUUUUCUCCUCGGACCUUGAAAAUUUAUGGUGGGGACACGCAAACUUCUCAACAGGCCGUACCAAUAUCCGCAGCUGGUCUCCAAGGUGAAGAGUCUCUAGUCGAUAGAAUAAUGUAGGUAAGGGAAGUCGGGCAAAUUAGAUCCGUAACUUCGGGAUAAGGAUUGGCUCUGAAGAUUGAGAUAGUCGGGCUUGAUUGGGAAACAAUAACAUGGUUUAUGUGCUCGUUCUGGGUAAAUAGAGUUUCUAGCAUUUAUGUUAGUUACUUGUUCCCGGAUAGUUUAGUUACGUAGCCAAUUGUGGAACUUUCUUGCUAAAAUUUUUAAGAAUACUAUUUGGGUUAAACCAAUUAGUUCUUAUCAAUUAUAACGAUUAUCAAUUAACAAUCAAUUCAGAACUGGCACGGACUUGGGGAAUCCGACUGUCUAAUUAAAACAAAGCAUUGUGAUGGCCCUAGCGGGUGUUGACACAAUGUGAUUUCUGCCCAGUGCUCUGAAUGUCAAAGUGAAGAAAUUCAAGUAAGCGCGGGUCAACGGCGGGAGUAACUAUGACUCUCUUAAGGUAGCCAAAUGCCUCGUCAUCUAAUUAGUGACGCGCAUGAAUGGAUUAACGAGAUUCCUACUGUCCCUAUCUACUAUCUAGCGAAACCACAGCCAAGGGAACGGGCUUGGAAUAAUUAGCGGGGAAAGAAGACCCUUUUGAGCUUGACUCUAAUCUGGCAGUGUAAGGAGACAUAAGAGGUGUAGAAUAAGUGGGAGAUAUUAGACCUCGGUUUGGUAUCGUCAAUGAAAUACCACUACUCUUAUUGUUUCCUUACCAACUUGAUUAAAUGCAACGUGUAUCAUAUCCUAGCCUGAAUACGGAUAUAUUUAUUAUAUCUUAUGGUACUGGGUCAUGACCCAAUCGUCCAUGUCAAGGUAUCACGAGUUCGGUUCGAACAUGCUCUGUUC
Molecule: non-coding RNA, 3028 nt
Filed under: Drosophila sechellia
Lineage: Eukaryota; Metazoa; Arthropoda; Insecta; Diptera; Drosophilidae
Description: Eukaryotic large subunit ribosomal RNA
Rfam family: Eukaryotic large subunit ribosomal RNA
Source: Rfam by way of RNAcentral